ACCUGGGAUAGUUCAGUUGGUAGAUCACGAGACUCUCGCGAUCUCAGAGUUGUGGGUUCGAGCACCACAUUGGGCA
Non-coding RNA from Podarcis lilfordi (Lilford's wall lizard), 76 nucleotides. The record is from the annotation of a GenBank genome assembly. NCBI's taxonomy places the organism in Eukaryota, Metazoa, Chordata, Lepidosauria, Squamata, Lacertidae.